AGGCUCCCAGGCUCAAAGACGAAGACGGGCACCAGCUCGGAGGCUCUACUGACCGACCGCUUGUCUCUAAUUCUUGCCUGACACAGACAUUCCUUGCCCAGGGAAGUGUUUGAUUUAUGUUGAGGUUUGAGUGUCGGGAUUUUGCUGACAGGAGAAUCAGAUACCUGUCAGACUGAGAAAGUGUGGAAUAAUUGCUGUGAGCUGCCUCUGUCAAGAACAAGGAGUAAAGACCUCGUCUGCCCUGCUCGCUGCUGCAUCUCCAGCGCUACUUAACAGGGCGGGCUGACAGCCCGGGCUCGGUACACCCGGUAUCGGGGCAGCGUGCCACGCCUUCACACGCACUGUCUCACGUAAUCCUCCCAGCGACCCCGUGAGACAGGCACUUUGCUGAUCCCUGCGUUAGAGCUGAGGACACUGAGGUACGGAGUGAUGAAGUGAGUCACUAAGCCGCAGAGCUUAGAAGUGGUAGCGCUAGAGCUGGGUUUGAUGCAAGAGCAAAGCCUGGUGUCCAACCACUUCUCAGACGUUAUUGGUGGCAGGAGAG
Molecule: long non-coding RNA, 544 nt
Filed under: Ailuropoda melanoleuca (giant panda)
Lineage: Eukaryota; Metazoa; Chordata; Mammalia; Carnivora; Ursidae
Description: lncRNA (ENSAMEG00000023768.1)
Source: RNAcentral